AGUUACUAUUUAUUUUAGUGUGACUUGUUUAUAGUUUCUAAAAUUUUAUUGGUUUCAUUGAAAUUGAAAACAUAAGCGUUGAUUACUAUAAUUCUAGCUAUAGGUUGUGGGUAACCAUUACCACCCUAUUUAACAAACUUCUCAACUUAACCAAAAUUUACAAAUAGCAGCGAAAAGACUUUUUAAUUCAGAUUGGUGGGGGGGGGGCACACGCCCCUCCCACAAGUCAAUAAGCACACCACCAAUAAAUGAAAUUCUUGUAGCAAAAAAAAUUUUUAUGUUUUUUAUACUGUGUACUAGUUUCACUUAUUUUAUUAAGUAUA
Hydra vulgaris (swiftwater hydra) is the source of this 323-nucleotide long non-coding RNA. RefSeq lists it as uncharacterized. The record is from RefSeq and is a predicted model, not a curated record. NCBI's taxonomy places the organism in Eukaryota, Metazoa, Cnidaria, Hydrozoa, Anthoathecata, Hydridae.